This 485-nucleotide ribosomal RNA is filed under the name Polypedates leucomystax (Java whipping frog). RNAcentral describes it as "partial 16S ribosomal RNA". It matches the Rfam family "Bacterial large subunit ribosomal RNA", at positions 1909 to 2568 of the family's 2925-position model. Lineage: Eukaryota; Metazoa; Chordata; Amphibia; Anura; Rhacophoridae. The record is from RNAcentral.
CUAGCGAAUUUUGAACUUCUGCGAUAUACUAACCGCGCGAAGGUAGCAUAAUCACUUGUUCUUUAAAUGGGGACUCGUAACAACGGUUUCACGAGGGUUUCACUGUCUCCUCUUCUUGAUCCUAGAGAUGGAUCUUCCCGAGAAGAAGCGGGAAUAUUUUUAUAAUAGGAGUAUACCCCAUGGAGCUUUAAACCGAAUAACAACUCACCUACUUAUCCCACAAUAAAUUUAAGCCCUGUGAUAAGGUUUUUGGGGGGGGUGACCGCGGAGUAAAGGACAUCCUCCACGACGGAAAGAACAUAAUCUUUAUUUAACAACUACACUCCUAUAAAUUAGUAUACCAACGUUUACUGACCCAACAAUCGAUCAACGGACCAAGUCUCCCUGGGGAUAACAGCCCCUUCUACUCCACGAUCUCAUAUCCACAAGUAGGCUUACGACCCCGAUGUCGGAUCAGGGUAUCCCGGUGGAUCCACCGCUACCGA